This 21-nucleotide unclassified non-coding RNA is filed under the name Chlamydomonas reinhardtii. Its description in RNAcentral is "small RNA Cre_3018". The record is from RNAcentral. Lineage: Eukaryota; Viridiplantae; Chlorophyta; Chlorophyceae; Chlamydomonadales; Chlamydomonadaceae.
UGCAGCGGUGAGCAGCUAUGC